ACGAACGCUGGCGGCGUGCUUAACACAUGCAAGUCGAACGGAAAGGCCCUGCUUUUGUGGGGUGCUCGAGUGGCGAACGGGUGAGUAACACGUGAGUAACCUGCCCUUGACUUUGGGAUAACUUCAGGAAACUGGGGCUAAUACCGGAUAGGAGCUCCUGCUGCAUGGUGGGGGUUGGAAAGUUUCGGCGGUUGGGGAUGGACUCGCGGCUUAUCAGCUUGUUGGUGGGGUAGUGGCUUACCAAGGCUUUGACGGGUAGCCGGCCUGAGAGGGUGACCGGCCACAUUGGGACUGAGAUACGGCCCAGACUCCUACGGGAGGCAACAGUGGGAAUAUUGCACAAUGGGCGGAAGCCUGAUGCAGCAACGCCGCGUGCGGGAUGACGGCCUUCGGGUUGUAAACCGCUUUCGCCUGUGACGAAGCGUGAGUGACGGUAAUGGGUAAAGAAGCACCGGCUAACUACGUG
This 466-nucleotide ribosomal RNA is filed under the name uncultured bacterium. RNAcentral's name for it is "partial 16S ribosomal RNA". It matches the Rfam family "Bacterial small subunit ribosomal RNA", at positions 29 to 507 of the family's 1533-position model. The record is from RNAcentral.